AGCUAGUCUAACCUUCGGGAGGACGGUUACCACGGUGUGAUUCAUGACUGGGGUGAAGUCGUAACAAGGUAGCCGUAGGGGAACCUGCGGCUGGAUCACCUCCUUAAUCGACGA
This 114-nucleotide ribosomal RNA is filed under the name Pseudomonas moorei. RNAcentral describes it as "partial 16S ribosomal RNA". It matches the Rfam family "Bacterial small subunit ribosomal RNA", at positions 1428 to 1533 of the family's 1533-position model. Lineage: Bacteria; Pseudomonadati; Pseudomonadota; Gammaproteobacteria; Pseudomonadales; Pseudomonadaceae. The record is from RNAcentral.